UUUAUACUCCCUCCGUCCGAAAAAACUUGUCAUCAAAAUGAAUAAAAGGGGAUGUAUCUAGAUGUAUUUUAGUUCUAGAUACAUCCCUUUUUAUCCAUUUUAAUGACAAAAAUUUUCGGACGGAGGGGGUAACAU
Non-coding RNA from Triticum aestivum (bread wheat), 135 nucleotides. The record is from Rfam. NCBI's taxonomy places the organism in Eukaryota, Viridiplantae, Streptophyta, Magnoliopsida, Poales, Poaceae.